This 424-nucleotide ribosomal RNA is filed under the name Verrucomicrobiota bacterium. Its description in RNAcentral is "Verrucomicrobia bacterium partial 16S ribosomal RNA". It matches the Rfam family "Bacterial small subunit ribosomal RNA", at positions 355 to 776 of the family's 1533-position model. Lineage: Bacteria; Pseudomonadati; Verrucomicrobiota. The record is from RNAcentral.
UGAGGAAUAUUGGUCAAUGGACGCAAGUCUGAACCAGCCAAGUAUCGUUCAGGAUGACGGCCCUAUGGGUUGUAAACUGCUUUUAUAUGUGGAUAAAGUUGGGAACGUGUUCCCUUUUGCAGGUACCAUAUGAAUAUUUACCGGCUAUUUCCGUGCCAGCAGCCGCGGUAAUACGGAAGGUUCGGGCGUUAUCCGGAUUUAUUGGGUUUAAAGUGAGCGUAGGCCGUUUGGUAAGCGUGUUGUGUAAUGUAGGAGCUCAACUUCUAGAUUGCAGCGCGAACUGUCAGACUUGAGUGCGCACAACGUAGGCGGAAUUCAUGGUGUGGCGGUGAAAUGCUUAGAUAUAAUGAAGAACUCCGAUUGCGAAGGCAGCUUACGGGGGCGCAACUGACGCUGAAGCUCGAAGGAGCGGGUAUCGAACAGG